GCGAGGGUGGCGGAAUUGGCAGACGCGCCAGGUUUAGGUCCUGGUGUCUAACGACAUGCGGGUUCGAGUCCCGCCCCUCGCA
This 82-nucleotide transfer RNA is filed under the name Phycisphaerae bacterium. Its description in RNAcentral is "tRNA-Leu". It matches the Rfam family "tRNA". From Rfam's summary of the family: Transfer RNA (tRNA) molecules are approximately 80 nucleotides in length. Their secondary structure includes four short double-helical elements and three loops (D, anti-codon, and T loops). RNAcentral also lists the same sequence under 1 other name. Lineage: Bacteria; Pseudomonadati; Planctomycetota; Phycisphaerae. The record is from RNAcentral.